GACGAACGCUGGCGGCGUGCUUAACACAUGCAAGUCGAACGAUGAACCCGGAGCUUGCUCCGGCGGAUUAGUGGCGAACGGGUGAGUAACACGUGAGUAACCUGCCCUUGACUCUGGGAUAACUGCUAGAAAUGGUAGCUAAUACCGGAUACGACCCUCGGCGGCAUCGCCAGGGGGUGGAAAGAAUUUCGGUCAAGGAUGGACUCGCGGCCUAUCAGCUAGUUGGUGAGGUAACGGCUCACCAAGGCGACGACGGGUAGCCGGCCGGAGAGGGUGGACGGCCACACUGGGACUGAGACGCGGCCCAGACUCCUACGGGAGGCAGCAGUGGGGAAUAUUGCACAAUGGGCGCAAGCCUGAUUCAGCAACGCCGCGUGAGGGAUGACGGCCUUCGGGUUGUAAACCUCUUUUAGUAGGGAAGAAGCGAAAGUGACGGUACCUGCAGAAAAAGCACCGGCUAACUACGUGCCAGCAGCCGCAGUAA
Molecule: ribosomal RNA, 484 nt
Filed under: uncultured bacterium
Lineage: Bacteria
Description: partial 16S ribosomal RNA
Rfam family: Bacterial small subunit ribosomal RNA
Source: RNAcentral